CCUACGGGAGGCUGCAGUGGGGAAUAUUGCACAAUGGGGGAAACCCUGAUGCAGCGACGCCGCGUGAGUGAAGACGUAAUUCGUUAUUUAAAGCUCCAUCAGCAGGGAAGAAAAUGACGGUACCUGAGUAAGAAGCCCCGUCUCACUACGUGCCAGCAGCCGCGGUAAUACGUAGGGGGCCAGCGUUAUCCGGAUUUACUGGGUGUAAAGGGAGCGUAGACGGCAGUGCAAGUCUGUAGUGAAAGGCGGGGGCUCAACCCGCGGACUGCUCGGGAAACUGUAGUGCUGGAGUGCAGGAGAGGCAAGUGGAAUUCGUAGUGUAGCGGUGAAAUGCGUAGAUAUGAGGAGGAACCCCAGUGGCGAAGGCGGCUUACUGGAGUGUAACUGACGUUGAGGCUCGAAAGCGGGGGGAGCGAACAGGAUUAGAUACCCCUGUAGUC
RNAcentral lists this ribosomal RNA (440 nucleotides) under uncultured bacterium. RNAcentral's name for it is "partial 16S ribosomal RNA". It matches the Rfam family "Bacterial small subunit ribosomal RNA", at positions 338 to 795 of the family's 1533-position model. The record is from RNAcentral.